Molecule: unclassified non-coding RNA, 391 nt
Filed under: soil metagenome
Description: partial contains 5.8S ribosomal RNA, internal transcribed spacer 2, and large subunit ribosomal RNA
Rfam family: 5.8S ribosomal RNA (bases 1-122)
Source: RNAcentral
GAUGAAGAACGUAGCGAAAUGCGAUACUUGGUGUGAAUUGCAGAAUCCCGUGAACCAUCGAGUCUUUGAACGCAAGUUGCGCCCGAAGCCAUUAGGCCGAGGGCACGCCUGCCUGGGUGUCACACGUCGUUGCCCCCCCAUCUACUCCUUCGGGAUUGCGGGGGGCGGAUGAUGGCCUCCCGUGCGCCUCGUCGCGCGGUUGGCAUAAAUGCCAAGUCCUCGGCGACGCACGCCACGACAAUCGGUGGUUGCGAAACCUCGGUUGCCCGUCGUGUGCGGUCGUCGCGCAUCGAGGGCUCGAAAAAAUUGCCGGGCUCCGGCUCGGCUUUCAACGAGACCCCAGGUCAGGCGGGGUUACCCGCUGAAUUUAAGCAUAUCAAUAAGCGGAGGA